RNAcentral lists this transfer RNA (72 nucleotides) under Loxodonta africana (African savanna elephant). It matches the Rfam family "tRNA". Rfam says of the family: Transfer RNA (tRNA) molecules are approximately 80 nucleotides in length. Their secondary structure includes four short double-helical elements and three loops (D, anti-codon, and T loops). Further hydrogen bonds mediate the characteristic L-shaped molecular structure. tRNAs have two regions of fundamental functional importance: the anti-codon, which is responsible for specific mRNA codon recognition, and the 3' end, to which the tRNAs corresponding amino acid is attached (by aminoacyl-tRNA synthetases). tRNAs cope with the degeneracy of the genetic code in two manners: having more than one tRNA (with a specific anti-codon) for a particular amino acid; and 'wobble' base-pairing, i.e. permitting non-standard base-pairing at the 3rd anti-codon position. Lineage: Eukaryota; Metazoa; Chordata; Mammalia; Proboscidea; Elephantidae. The record is from Rfam by way of RNAcentral.
GCAUUGGUGGUUUGGUGGUAGAAAUCCCCCCUUCUGAUGCAGGAGACCCAGGUUCGAUUCCCGGCCAAUGCA